GUCCACGCUGUAAACGAUGAUGACUGGGUGUGGGAGGUAUUGAACCCUUCCGUGCCGAAGCGAACGCGAUAAGUCAUCCGCCUGGGGAGUACGGCCGCAAGGUUAAAACUCAAAGGAAUUGACGGGGGCCCCGCACAAGCAGCGGAGCGUGUGGUUUAAUUCGAUGCGACACGAAGAACCUUACCUGGGUUUGACAUGGUAGUGGUACUGAAGCGAAAGCUAAGGGACCCGCAAGGGAGCUAUCACAGGUGCUGCAUGGCUGUCGU
Molecule: ribosomal RNA, 266 nt
Filed under: uncultured bacterium
Lineage: Bacteria
Description: partial 16S ribosomal RNA
Rfam family: Bacterial small subunit ribosomal RNA
Source: RNAcentral